This 385-nucleotide ribosomal RNA is filed under the name uncultured bacterium. RNAcentral describes it as "bacterial SSU rRNA". It matches the Rfam family "Bacterial small subunit ribosomal RNA", at positions 29 to 414 of the family's 1533-position model. The record is from RNAcentral.
AUUGAACGCUGGCGGCAUGCCUUACACAUGCAAGUCGAACGGCAGCGCGGGAGCAAUCCUGGCGGCGAGUGGCGAACGGGUGAGUAAUAUAUCGGAACGUGCCCAGUAGUGGGGGAUAGCCCGGCGAAAGCCGGAUUAAUACCGCAUACGACCUGAGGGUGAAAGGGGGGAGUUCGCAAGAACCUCUCGCUAUUGGAGCGGCCGAUAUCAGAUUAGGUAGUUGGNGGGGUAAAGGCCUACCAAGCCUGCGAUCUGUAGUUGGUCUGAGAGGACGACCAGCCACACUGGGACUGAGACACGGCCCAGACUCCUACGGAGGCAGCAGUGGGGAAUUUUGGACAAUGGGCGCAAGCCUGAUCCAGCAAUGCCGCGUGCAGGAAGAAGG